This is a long non-coding RNA of Anneissia japonica, 632 nucleotides long. RefSeq lists it as uncharacterized. The transcript is spliced from 3 exons. The record is from RefSeq and is a predicted model, not a curated record. NCBI's taxonomy places the organism in Eukaryota, Metazoa, Echinodermata, Crinoidea, Comatulida, Comatulidae.
GGUCAAAACAAAAACAAUAAACAAAACAAAACCACAUGUGGAUUUAGGAGACACGAAUAUCAGAAGAUAUAACGUAUUUGUUAUCUUGGUAGACGUAAAACCUCAACGCUACUGGAAUUCCUGUUUUCUUUUCAUAAUUGCAGUGUUGUUUUCAAGCGCCCUCAAUUCAGAUGACAGAUAAACCAUGCCUCCUGUUAAUCAGCUAAUUGAUUCUGUUUAAUGACUGACUGAUCAAUAUUUUUUUGAUAUUGAUCUUUGUUAAAUAUUUUGUUGAGUUUUCUUUUGUGUAAGUGGUAUAAUUUAUCAUCUUGUUUGUACUUCUUUGUCAUUUAAAUUGAAUUUAUGAGAACAUUACAAAAUAAAUGUUAACUGAAUUGAACUUUGUAUAAUAUUGUUUCAAAUUAAAACUACACAGACUGAAAAAAUAAGUCAGUUUCAUUAUUUGUAAUUGAUUUGAUUUAUUUUUAUUUUAUUUCAUUCAAUCAUCAAUCAAUAGAGAUAGAAACCUCCACUAACAGGUUGGAGAAUACAUAUUAUACAAAGAGACAAAAUUUACAGGAAGGAAAAGGAGGAGGAUGAUGGAGAAAAAUAACGAUGUGACGACGACGAGAAUAACAACAACAACAGCAACA